GCAGCCUUGGAGCCCUCGGAGCCCCUUCCGCAGCAGCCCAGUGCAGCUCUCAGCGCAACCCCUCCGUGCAAGGUACAGCCUGGGAGCGUCAGUGGAGGAGCGCGGCCCUCAGUGCAGUGGGAAGCGUUCGGGGCGCCGAGCACAGCCUCUCCACCCACAUAUAGCACCGGUUUCUGGAGUAGAACAAAGACAGAAAUGACACAUGCUAGGGGGGCAGGCCUGUCUCCAGUGGAGCCCUUCAUGGAGUGCAGCUGCCGGGAGGAAGCGGGCCUUACACGGGCGGCACCCGCCCCGCAGGGCUGACCCGGAGGCCGCAUCGCUGGCCCGUUAGGGGACAGACGCCAGAGGGGCCCAUCCAAGUCCCGCUCCCACCAGGAAGGUGACCGGAUGUGCACACUUGGCCUCUGUGGGUGCAGUCACUGAAGAGAGGCCACUGCUGGGCCUGACCCUGUGGCCAGUGUCCUCAAGAGACAAGGACAGCUGGCACCAGACCCCGGGAGGAUGGAGGAGAGGCCUAGGGAAUUGGCCACCAACCAAGCACUGCGGGGCCACAGGGAGAGACGGGGCAGGAAGGUCCCUCGGUUGGAGUCUGUGGCAGGGUCUGGUCCCACACUUCGGUCUCAGAACUGGAAGGAAGAGGUGCCAGCCGGCCUGCAGUCCUGCAUCAGCAGCGAUGGAGCCAGGACGCCGACAAGGAAAGGUCAGGCUAUGGCAGUGUCCAGUGCCUAGAAACACUGGUUCCCAUGUGCAGCCCAACGAGGGGGACCCUUCCGAGACACCACGUACAAGAUGAACCGCAGACGGACUCAGGACCGAAGGCUACAACC
RNAcentral lists this long non-coding RNA (827 nucleotides) under Fukomys damarensis (Damara mole-rat). Its description in RNAcentral is "lncRNA (ENSFDAG00000029944.1)". The record is from RNAcentral. Lineage: Eukaryota; Metazoa; Chordata; Mammalia; Rodentia; Bathyergidae.